Cannabis sativa is the source of this 2011-nucleotide long non-coding RNA. RefSeq lists it as uncharacterized. The transcript is spliced from 2 exons. Lineage: Eukaryota; Viridiplantae; Streptophyta; Magnoliopsida; Rosales; Cannabaceae. The record is from RefSeq and is a predicted model, not a curated record.
AUUGGGGUAGAUAAUUUUGACCAAAAUAUCCCUAAGUUUUAAAGUUGGAUGUUGGUUGAAUUAAGGGUAGAAUAGUAAUAUCCCUAAUUUUUUUUUAUUUCAUUUGAUUUUCUAGAAAAGUCUUAGGUUGAAGUAAGAGAUUUAAUAUUAUUAAGUUAUAUUAAAUUAUUAUUAGGUACGUUAAUUAAAGAGAUAAAUCACAAAAUAAGAAUUUUACAACCCAUCUUCAUCUCUCUCUCUCUCUCUCUCUCUCUCUCUCUCUCUCUCUCUCUCUCUCUCUCUCUCUCUCUCUCUCUCUCUCUCUCUCUCUCUCUCUCUCUCUCUCUCUCUCUCUCUCUCUCUCUCUCUCUCUCUCUCUCUCUCUCUCUUCGAAGCCCUAGGAACCCAACAAAAAAUUUGAGUAAUUCCAUCUCAAUUCAUCCAUCUUCUAGCUAAAAUAACCAACUCUUGGAGUUGUUCAAGCCUUGAGUGAUUUUGCUGGCGACAAUGCAAUUCUGACGACUUUUUUGACGCCGGCAAUAACUCUGGCGAUUUUUCCGACAUCAGCAACUACUCCGGCGACUUUUCCGGCACCGACAUCAAACUCCAGAAUAGUCGUCAGACUUAGCAUUGUCACCGGUAAAAUUACCGGAAAAAUCACCAAGAAACCGGUUUCUUCAUCAAGAAACCAGUUUCUUGGUGACUUUUCCAGCGACAAUGCUAGUUCUGACAACUUUUUCGGCGCCGGCAGCAACUCCGACGACUUUUUCGGCACCGGCAAUAAACUACGGUGAUUUUUUCGGCACGAGUGACAACUUCGGCGAUCACUAUAGUUUUAUUUAUUUUAUUUUUUUAAAAAAAUAAAUAUGAAAGGAAUUUUAAUAUUUUUUAUGGUAAUUUAAUUAAGUUUUUAUUUUUUAUAAAUUUUAAAUUUAGAUAUCUUUUUAAUGUUUUAUAUGGUUUUUUUUCUAAAAAAAAACAAUAUUUUUAGUUUAAUUGGUUAAAUAAUAUCAUAUUUAGUGGUAUUUACUUUUUAUAUUAUAUUUAUCAUAACCUUAAUAAUUUUUCUCAUAUCUUUUAAAAUAACCCCAGAGAUAUAUAUAUAUAUAUAUAUAUAUGCACAUAUCAUGAUUGCUUUACUUAGAGGACACAAUUAGUUAUGUGUUUAAAGUUAAGAUACUGAGAUGUGAUUAACCAUUGAAACAAAGCAUUAUAGAAAAAUAUUGUCGGCGCACACAUGCUUGGCAAAAGAAAAUAAUUAUACAAAUGGGAGGGUUAGUUUAGUAAAUUCCAAAACUUUAUCCAACUUUUUCAAAUUUAAGUUGUACCAAAAUUUUGUCAGCAUAUAUACAUGGAUACUACCCAAUUAGAUUUAUGUAUACUUUUAUCCAAUAAUUAAACAAAUUGUAAAGCGAUGAUGCUGUUCAAGUAGUACCCUAGCUAAUUUUAAUUAAAUUUGGUACGAAAUUUGACUUUUCUUGAUGAGGUAAAAUGGGCACACGACACAUCGACACCUUCUUCUAACCAAAUUGGCUACUUAAAUUUUGGUUAAAGAAUGUGAAAAACCAUAACUGAAUUGGUCAUAAAAGAUAAUUACAUAAAUUAUUAUUUUUUAAAAAAAAAAAUUAUAUUUUUAUAUUUAAAAGAUAAUUUUCAUAAAAAUAACGCAAAAAUUAUAAAAAAAAAAUUAAAUAAAAUAAUAUAAAAAUAACAUCUAAAUAAUAAAAAUUUAAAAGAGUACAACUUAAAAGGUCAUAUUUUUUAUAAAUAAAAUAAAAGAAUUGUAAAAAUAAUUAAAAUUUCAUGAAACUAUAUUUUUAUAAUUUUUUUAUUUAUUUGGUGUGUUUGUGAAAUAAUUCCUAAAACGUAUGUGAAUUGGCCCUAACAAUGAAAAAUUAUUAGCAAACGUGGCUUAAGAAUAACACAAGUCAAAUAUAUCUUUCAAGACAAAAAAAAGUAUUUAUAUGUAAAUGAAAGAGAGCAUGUGGCGUUGUGGUAAAUUGACUCGCCUAGUUUUAAAAAACUAUUAUAA